Long non-coding RNA from Myotis myotis, 1192 nucleotides. RefSeq lists it as uncharacterized. The record is from RefSeq and is a predicted model, not a curated record. The transcript is spliced from 7 exons. NCBI's taxonomy places the organism in Eukaryota, Metazoa, Chordata, Mammalia, Chiroptera, Vespertilionidae.
ACCAUCUGCUUUUGCAUGGAGGCCUCUGGAAGGCAGGAAUCAUGUCUGUUUACUUUGCAUAAUGCUGAGCAUAGAGCUGUGUACACGAAGCUUUCUUUUUAUUUGAUGACAAUGAUUUCCUUUAUGCAUUUCUUUCCUUUCCUGUCUUCAGAUUGACCAGAUCUGCUGAUAACUAUUAAUCCAGUAGAAUUACAGAGAGGUGGAAUUCACUGCCGACUGCCUGGCCAGGCCGGGCAGCAGAAGGUCUCACACAGCUCUCUGAGGUCUCAUGCCACUGCAAAGAGGUGAAAUAGCUGUCUGGAGUGAUUCUCACUAAAUGUUAAUACUGAAUAUUUCUCAAUGCCAUCCUGGGUGGCAGCUGUUCUGUGUGAAUGCCCACAAACAUUCUCAAUGUAAGAAUUUGUCCUGAUUAUAACUCCUUAAGUGCUGGUACAGAUGGAAGUUGGUAACCUUUCUGGGCAGCCAGUUGGCAGAAUAAUUACAAAUUCUUUUGAAAACGUGCAUAACUUUUUGCUCCAAGGAACAGAACUGAACAAGUGUUCAAAGAUGAAGAAACCAAGGAACAGAGAAAUAAAGUAACUUGUCUAAGGCCUUAAAUUCAGAGGUGGCAAAGUAAGAAUUUGUAUCCAGGCAUUUGAUCCAGAGCCUACAUUCUGAAACCCUCAACCUGACUGUAAAAACUGUCUUCAGGUUUUACAUGGGAUAACCAUCACAGGAAAUUUUGGAUUUCAACAGAGCUCUGUUCUGAAUAACGAUGCUGCUGGGGAAGCGGGCGUUCACAGGCUUCAUCUGGUAACAGAAGCCCAACGGCAGGCCCUUGGUCAUGUUCAGUACGUGACUGCAGAUAGCGUGAACCAUAGCCAGUCGUUUCUACUCCCCACCACUUGCCAGCCUGGAGCCUCCUUCAAGGAGACUGAGUUCUACGUUGAUGUGACUAAAGCCCCUCCUCAGGGUUCCUCUGGGACCCUUCACAACUGUGGUCGCUUCAUUUUCUGAGAUUCCACAGCCUGAUUGUUGAGAAUGGUAUCUUCACAGUAGAUGCAGCAAAAAGAGGGACUUCAUCAGUUCUCUUGCACCACACCUGGCAGUGCCAACCCCCCACUUCUGUGUAUAUGAGGGGAACCGCUAUAACUCUCCAGAACCUUGUGAAAAAAACAAGACUCAAAGCAUGUCUGUAUUUGGAUUUGUCUGA